ACGGAAGGCAGCAGUGGGGAAUAUUGCACAAUGGGGGAAACCCUGAUGCAGCGACGCCGCGUGAGCGAAGAAGUAUUUCGGUAUGUAAAGCUCUAUCAGCAGGGAAGAAAAUGACGGUACCUGACUAAGAAGCUCCGGCUAAAUACGUGCCAGCAGCCGCGGUAAUACGGAGGAUGCGAGCGUUAUCCGGAUUUAUUGGGUUUAAAGGGUGCGUAGGCGGCUUGCCAAGUCAGCGGUGAAAUCCGGGCGCCCAACGCCGGAACUGCCGUUGAAACUGGCGGGCUUGAAUGGUGCCGCCGCAUGCGGAAUGUGUGAAGUAGCGGUGAAAUGCAUAGAUAUCACACAGAACGCCGAUUGUGGAAACAGCAUGCGAGACACUGAUUGACGCUGAGGCACGGAGGUGCGGGGAUCGAACAGGAUUAGAUACCCUGGUA
This 434-nucleotide ribosomal RNA is filed under the name uncultured Lachnospiraceae bacterium. RNAcentral describes it as "partial 16S ribosomal RNA". It matches the Rfam family "Bacterial small subunit ribosomal RNA", at positions 341 to 792 of the family's 1533-position model. The record is from RNAcentral. Lineage: Bacteria; Bacillati; Bacillota; Clostridia; Lachnospirales; Lachnospiraceae.